CGUGUUGCUUGAUAGUGCAGCUCUAAGUGGGUGGUAAGCUCCAUCUAAGGCUAAAUAUGACCACGAGACCGAUAGCGAACAAGUACCGUGAGGGAAAGUUGAAAAGGACUUUGAAGAGAGAGUUCAAGAGUACGUGAAACCGUUCAGGGGUAAACCUGAGAAAUCCAAAAGAUCGAAUGGAGAGAUUCAGCGUCAGUUGGAUUGGCUCACGUGCGACUCGUGAUGCCCGCGCGAUACGUCGCGUGGCACGCGGUUGCUGCGUCGUGUCCGAUCUCGCCGGCGUGCACUUCUCUCCUAGUAGGACGUCGCAACCCGUUGGGCGUCGGUCACGGCCCGUUUGGUCGACUGUUUCGCGCGUUCACGCGCGUGGUACAGACCUUCGGUCGCCCGACCGACCGCUCGGCGGUAAUACAUGCACAAAUAAAUUGAGUAACGAGCCGCAUUUGAAUGCGUUCGGCUGGUCGUUCGGUGGUAUUCCGCUCGGAUUUUAACGGACCUGGUGCCGUUGUCGAGCGCGCGGUGCUUCUCGAAUCGACUUUGUCCUCGAACCGGCUCUGUUUUUUGUACUCUACGUUGGCGAUGCUUUUGCUUUGGAUACUUUCAGGACCCGUCUUGAAACACGGACCAAGGAGUCUAACAUGUACGCGAGUCAUUGGGACUUUGUUUUGAAUAGCUAAGCCUAAAGGCGCAAUGAAAGUAAAAAUUUAAAAGGGAGGAUGGCACGCGUUACGAUGCGUGCUCGCACUCCCGGGGCGUCUCAUGCACGUUUUUUUUUUUAAUCGAAAAUUAAUGAGCAGAGGCGCACCAAGAGCGUACACGUUGGGACCCGAAAGAUGGUGAACUAUGCCUGGUCAGGACGAAGUCAGGGGAAACCCUGAUGGAGGUCCGUAGCGAUUCUGACGUGCAAAUCGAUCGUCGGAACUGGGUAUAGGGGCGAAAGACUAAUCGAACCAUCUAGUAGCUGGUUCCUUCCGA
Molecule: ribosomal RNA, 975 nt
Filed under: Trechnites sp. D0573
Lineage: Eukaryota; Metazoa; Arthropoda; Insecta; Hymenoptera; Encyrtidae
Description: eukaryotic LSU rRNA
Rfam family: Eukaryotic large subunit ribosomal RNA
Source: RNAcentral